This 723-nucleotide ribosomal RNA is filed under the name uncultured bacterium. RNAcentral's name for it is "bacterial SSU rRNA". It matches the Rfam family "Bacterial small subunit ribosomal RNA", at positions 47 to 760 of the family's 1533-position model. The record is from RNAcentral.
CCUAACACAUGCAAGUCGAACGGUAACAGGAAACAGCUUGCUGUUUCGCUGACGAGUGGCGGACGGGUGAGUAAUGUCUGGGAAACUGCCUGAUGGAGGGGGAUAACUACUGGAAACGGUAGCUAAUACCGCAUAACGUCGCAAGACCAAAGAGGGGGACCUUCGGGCCUCUUGCCAUCAGAUGUGCCCAGAUGGGAUUAGCUAGUAGGUGGGGUAACGGCUCACCUAGGCGACGAUCCCUAGCUGGUCUGAGAGGAUGACCAGCCACACUGGAACUGAGACACGGUCCAGACUCCUACGGGAGGCAGCAGUGGGGAAUAUUGCACAAUGGGCGCAAGCCUGAUGCAGCCAUGCCGCGUGUAUGAAGAAGGCCUUCGGGUUGUAAAGUACUUUCAGCGGGGAGGAAGGGAGUAAAGUUAAUACCUUUGCUCAUUGACGUUACCCGCAGAAGAAGCACCGGCUAACUCCGUGCCAGCAGCCGCGGUAAUACGGAGGGUGCAAGCGUUAAUCGGAAUUACUGGGCGUAAAGCGCACGCAGGCGGUUUGUUAAGUCAGAUGUGAAAUCCCCGGGCUCAACCUGGGAACUGCAUCUGAUACUGGCAAGCUUGAGUCUCGUAGAGGGGGGUAGAAUUCCAGGUGUAGCGGUGAAAUGCGUAGAGAUCUGGAGGAAUACCGGUGGCGAAGGCGGCCCCCUGGACGAAGACUGACGCUCAGUGCGAAAGC